This 812-nucleotide ribosomal RNA is filed under the name Samsoniella aurantia. RNAcentral describes it as "LSU rRNA". It matches the Rfam family "Eukaryotic large subunit ribosomal RNA", at positions 114 to 958 of the family's 3401-position model. The record is from RNAcentral. Lineage: Eukaryota; Fungi; Ascomycota; Sordariomycetes; Hypocreales; Cordycipitaceae. RNAcentral also lists the same sequence under 2 other names.
UUUGAAAUCUGGCCUCCGGGUCCGAGUUGUAAUUUGUAGAGGAUGCUUUUGGCGAGGUGCCUUCCGAGUUCCCUGGAACGGGACGCCAUAGAGGGUGAGAGCCCCGUCUGGUCGGACACCGAGCCUCUGUAAAGCUCCUUCGACGAGUCGAGUAGUUUGGGAAUGCUGCUCAAAAUGGGAGGUAUAUGUCUUCUAAAGCUAAAUAUUGGCCAGAGACCGAUAGCGCACAAGUAGAGUGAUCGAAAGAUGAAAAGCACUUUGAAAAGAGGGUUAAAAAGUACGUGAAAUUGUUGAAAGGGAAGCGCCUAUGACCAGACUUGGGCCCGGUGAAUCAUCCAGCGUUCUCGCUGGUGCACUUUGCCGGGCACAGGCCAGCAUCAGUUUGGCGCGGGGGAAAAAGGUUUUGGGAAUGUGGCUCCCUCGGGAGUGUUAUAGCCCAUUGCGUAAUACCCUGCGCCGGACUGAGGUACGCGCAUCGCAAGGAUGCUGGCGUAAUGGUCAUCAGCGACCCGUCUUGAAACACGGACCAAGGAGUCGUCUUCGUAUGCGAGUGUUCGGGUGUCAAACCCCUACGCGUAAUGAAAGUGAACGCAGGUGAGAGCUUCGGCGCAUCAUCGACCGAUCCUGAUGUUCUCGGAUGGAUUUGAGUAAGAGCAUACGGGGCCGGACCCGAAAGAAGGUGAACUAUGCCUGUAUAGGGUGAAGCCAGAGGAAACUCUGGUGGAGGCUCGCAGCGGUUCUGACGUGCGAAUCGAUCGUCAAAUAUGGGCAUGGGGGCGAAAGACUAAUCGAACCUUCUAGUAGCUGGUUUC